This 253-nucleotide ribosomal RNA is filed under the name uncultured bacterium. RNAcentral describes it as "partial 16S ribosomal RNA". It matches the Rfam family "Bacterial small subunit ribosomal RNA", at positions 524 to 776 of the family's 1533-position model. The record is from RNAcentral.
UACGUAGGGCGCGAGCGUUGUCCGGAAUUAUUGGGCGUAAAGAGCUCGUAGGCGGCCUGUUGCGUCCGCUGUGAAAUCCCAGGGCUCAACCCUGGGCGUGCAGUGGAUACGGGCAGGCUGGAGGCAGGCAGGGGAGAACGGAAUUCCCGGUGUAGCGGUGAAAUGCGCAGAUAUCGUAAGGAAGACCAGUGGCGAAGGCGGGUCUCUGGACAGUUCCUGACGCUGAGGCACGAAGGCCAGGGGAGCAAACGGG